GACGAACGCUGGCGGCGUGCCUAAUACAUGCAAGUAGAACGCUGAAGGAGGAGCUUGCUUCUCUGGGUGAGUUGCGAACGGGUGAGUAACGCGUAGGUAACCUGCCUGGUAGCGGGGGAUAACUAUUGGAAACGAUAGCUAAUACCGCAUAAUAGUAGAUGUUGCAUGACAUUUGCUUAAAAGGUGCAAUUGCAUCACUACCAGAUGGACCUGCGUUGUAUUAGCUAGUUGGUGGGGUAACGGCUCACCAAGGCGACGAUACAUAGCCGACCUGAGAGGGUGAUCGGCCACACUGGGACUGAGACACGGCCCAGACUCCUACGGGAGGCAGCAGUAGGGAAUCUUCGGCAAUGGACGGAAGUCUGACCGAGCAACGCCGCGUGAGUGAAGAAGGUUUUCGGAUCGUAAAGCUCUGUUGUAAGAGAAGAACGAGUGUGAGAGUGGAAAGUUCACACUGUGACGGUAUCUUACCAGAAAGGGACGGCUAACUACGUG
RNAcentral lists this ribosomal RNA (495 nucleotides) under uncultured bacterium. RNAcentral's name for it is "partial 16S ribosomal RNA". It matches the Rfam family "Bacterial small subunit ribosomal RNA", at positions 28 to 507 of the family's 1533-position model. The record is from RNAcentral.